Pongo pygmaeus (Bornean orangutan) is the source of this 823-nucleotide long non-coding RNA. RefSeq lists it as uncharacterized. The transcript is spliced from 3 exons. The record is from RefSeq and is a predicted model, not a curated record. Lineage: Eukaryota; Metazoa; Chordata; Mammalia; Primates; Hominidae.
AUUGUCGGUCUGAAAUUUUCUUACUGUCACUGUCGUGAGAGGAGAACAAUUUUUACAAAGCCUGAGCAUCUCUAUUCAAACCACAAAGUAAAGAAGUAUAGAUGGAAAUUCUCUUCCAAAUGCUUCAUCAUGGGGGUAAGAGCAGCACGGCGGGCUUCCCCAACGGCCACGUGAGGUGUGAUGCCCCCACCGCUGAGCACAGGCGCAGACAACCCAGCUGCCUUGGAGGGAUUUAUAAAAGGAAACAACCCACGUACCUGUUAAGUGCAGAUGUCAGCCUGAACCCAGGAUGCUUUUCGUCUUUCCAAGGAGGCUGCUGCCUUUAAAAACCAGAACAACAUAAAAGGAAAAGAAGUCAAUCCACAGACAGCAAAGGAGGGCCUCAGCACUUGCAUUUGAGAACUGGCUCUUCUACUCACCUCGCUCUGCAAGAGUCACUUAAAAAUACCCCACACCUCGCUCAUUUUGCUUAUCAAUAUUAAAAUGAGGUAAGACUCCAUGAUCCUUCCAGUCCUGUGAUCUCUGAUUUCCAGUAUAAAAACUACUACAAACCCAUAAGGAACAGGAUUAGCUAGCUGGGCAGAUAAGGAGUUCAGUGUGCAUGUAGGGGGCGCCGUGGCAAUCUUGGAUGCAAAAAUUUUGCCUUCCCCUACCCAUGGCCAUGAAGAGGAAUGGAAUUGUUACAGUUGCCCAGGGUAUGAAAAUAUUACGUCUAACCAGUCCUGGUGCUCUGAAAAGCAGAAGACAUUUCUUGGAUACAUAAAAGAAAAAUAUCAGUUUGGAGAUGACUUUUCCUGAUGUAAUAAAAUAUUGUAUUUAUUCU